RNAcentral lists this long non-coding RNA (4539 nucleotides) under Chinchilla lanigera (long-tailed chinchilla). Its description in RNAcentral is "lncRNA (ENSCLAG00000026368.1)". The record is from RNAcentral. Lineage: Eukaryota; Metazoa; Chordata; Mammalia; Rodentia; Chinchillidae.
UGCACUCCACCUACUGAGGCCCGGUUAAAUUUCGCAGGGACCUUCGCCAGAGCCAGGCCAAACACCGGGGCCGGAGGGCCAGCUCUGGGGGAGACUGGCAAUGUUACAGUGUGAAAACAGGAGAAAAGGCGUUUUUAAAAAGAAAAAAAAAAAAAGAAAAAAAGAAAAGAAAACAGUUUUUCAGAGAGGGAAGUUCUUGACUAGAGCACAGAGCUUUAUCUCAAAUAGGGACACCAAAUAAUUCCGGAUGUGAACGUUAAUAAAGUCCUCUAUUUCUCGCAGACGCCACAAGACUCAGAAAUCAUAUUUGCAUAAAACGAAUCACUUUGCACUUUAGGACCUAUUUUAGACUUCCAUUUCCUUCUCCAUGCGAGUUACUCUUGUGUUCUCUUCACCCCUCACCCCAUGGCUACAUCUUCUUUCCUUAGGGAUCCACCGUGAUUUCUAUCAGUGUGGAAGAUGCAUGCAUCCUUUCACCUAUGUCUGUUGGUAUCGAACCAGCUAGGAACAUUUUCCAAGAAAAGAGGAACACUUCCGUCCAGGAACUGGACCUCGAGGUUCAAAGCUCCUUCAAAAGCGCUGCCCAGGGAAAUGGCAAAGUCUCUCCUUCAAGAGGACAGGGAAUGCUUAAGAGAAAAGCGUUGAGGAGCGGUCCUGAUGUAGAAAUCCAAGCUAAGCCACGAAGACAAGAUACAGUCUGUGCUACCUUGGGUUUUCCGUCAGGGGGCCCCAGAAAGAAGGAAAAGGAAAGAAAGAAGGAAGGAAAGAAAGAAGGAAAGAAAGAAAGAAAGAAAGAAAGAAAGAAAGAAAGAAAGAAAGAAAGGAGAAGAGAGAAAGAAUGAGAGAAAAAAGGAAGGAAGAGAGAAAGAAAGAAAAACAGAAAAGAGAAAGAAAGAUAGAGAAAGGGAAAGAGGAAGAAAGAAUCACAAAUAUAAAGCUGAAGCAAAAGGUACAGUCCUCAAACUGCUGGGUUCCUAAGAGUUCUCCAGCUAUCUCUGUCUCAACUCAUAAUUAGUUGGAGCAUCAGUGUAACUUCCAGUAGGAGCCUGAAUCAUCUACUGUGGGAUCUGGUACAGGACCCUUCAAAGAAUGUGAACAUCAAAUUCCAUCCACUUUGAAGCACCCUUCCAAAGGGUUGCCAGAUUCUAAUUCUGACAGGAAACAUUGAAAACUGUGACUCGGGCUGGACACUGUGGUAGAAGCUGGUAAUAUCAGCUACUCAGGAGGCUGAUGCAGGGAUAUUGCAAAAUGUAGGCCAGCCUGGACAACUUAAGGGGACACUGUUUCAAAAUUAAAAAAAAAAAAAAAAAAAAGAUUUGGGAUGUAGCACAGUGAGAAAGCUGCCCCUGGAUGUGACGCCCCAGUUCCAUCACCAACACCACUACCAAUAAAGAAAAACAAAGAAAAAUGACUCAGCUGCAAGGUUAGGCCACCAGCUCAGACCUAGUCCCAUCUCAAUAAAUUAAAUGCACAUAGAAAGCACUAAAGGACCCAAGGUCGGGAUCUGAGCUGGAUAGGUCUGAUCGCAGUCACCGAAGGUCUGGAAGAAUAAAGGGAAAAACUUCCACUGGUGAGGUGGGAGUGAGCUGGUCAGGAGGCACACAGUGAGUCCGCCUCCCCCAAGUCUCCUUUAGCCUGGGAAAAGUCUUCGGACAGAAAGGAAACUAUUUACUAAUCAAACUUAUGUGCUUCUUUUCUAAAAAGCCUGCAUCGACACACCAAUAGGCCCGUUCUUACUUGUGGAGAAUUCACACCCACCUGCCUCUCUACCACUCCGCAGCACCGCUUCCUGUAGCUCUUCCCCACCCCCACCCGACUCGGUGCCCUGAGAAUCAGUUGGAGCCUCGUUUCCCAAAGGACCCUGCUCUGCUCCCCGCUGUGCCCACCUCUUCGGGCGGUAGCUUCUGUGGUACCUGGAGGACCAGCCUCGCGGAGGAGCCAGGGCUCCCAGCCCGCGCCGCUCCGCUCUUCCCGCGCUCGCCCAGCGCUCCUUUGUGUCCCCGCCUGCCAAGUGCAAUCAAGCCAGAGAGGCCUUGCUUCUCGGCUUUUUCUCCAGAUUCCCACUCGUCUUCCCCACCCCGCCCUCCCCCUCCCGAAAAGGCAAACUUUUCAGCCUGGAUGUCUCACAUUUUGCACAUUAGACUGGAAAGCAUGCACAUACAGAUCAAUAUUUUUGGGCUCACAGGUCAUCUGCCACAGUGAACGCUGGGGAAAAAGAGGAAACCAAUGAAAGCUUUUAAGCUUCUACAGUAUUGAUGCAGCGCAUAGCUCAGAGCUAAGAUACCAGGGUGUGCCGGAGAGGCUAACUCAGUAUUCAGUUACGUGCGAGGAGCCUUGAACUCCGCGGUCCCAUUCUUUUUCGGGCCUUUGGAAGGAGAUGCGGGCAGGAAGAAGAGGAUGGAGGGUCGGACAUCUGAGCGAACAGCAGCCCAGCCGGGGCAUCAGGAGCACGUUAUGGUUAUCCUGUAAAACACACACACUCACACACGCACACACGCACACCACCUCCUCUUUUUCAGAUCACCAGCAAAGGUGUGGAGUUCAUUUUUAUUUAUGAAGAAAUCCUAGGCAGAUUCCAGCUGACCAAUUUUGUGCCUUCUCUCUGCGUUUGUCUUAAGACACGCUGGAGAGAAAGCGACGUUCGAGCAGAGCGCUCAGCCGGCAAGUUUGGCUCCAGAGCGUGCGAAAUAUGAAUCACCGCGGCGGAGAGGGUUUCUUUUUUCUCACCCUCUGCUUUUCUUCUAGAGCGUGAACUUGUUAGAUAAGAUAGAUGAGGCCACGGAGGAAAUGGAAACACAGAAAAAAACCCAGUUCUUUUCGGCGAGAACAGCCUGCAAGGCUGGCAGGCAGCGGCCGCGAGGUAUCGGAGGCGUGGAGCUCAGGGUUGAUUCCGACCUGGUCCAGUUGGCGCCCCCACGCCGCUAGCUUGGCCCUACGCUCCCUGGGCUGCCCCACUGUCUACCUUUGGACCCCAGCAAAAACACCUCCCAAAGCGAGAAACGUUCCCUCCACUAAGAAUAUGCACACCCGCUCGCCUGGAGCACAGAACUGGGCCCGAAGCUUUUGCUCGAAGAAGUUCUAAGUCUGGACCACAAAAUAAGCGGUGGGUGGGAGACACCGGGUUUUAAGGAGGUCUGGAAUUACACAUGAAACAUUAUUUUCCUAGCUAAUUAAAAGUAAUUCUCUUUCCCUAUUUAUAUGCAUAGACACGCUGUUUACCACACGCCCCUCUGUGCUUGAAAAACUGCUCAGAGCAUCUUUGGUACACACGGCUCGUUCUUUGUCCCCUCGAACAUUUACAGCUGAUGGUGCGGUUGGUGGAGAUCAAUUAGCACUGGAUUUUGCCCCAGGAUUGCUCCCCAGGGCGAACGAAUGCAGCCAACUCCUCUCCAGCGACUUUUUUUCGCCCAUGUGUGUUUCCACGCCAGGGCUGCUGAAGUAGUUCAAAAUCCCCAGCCUUGGUUUCACUUGAUUUUGUUGUUGUGUUGUUAUUGAUAAAUAUUGGGUCAUACACAAGCCACUUGUCAGAGCCUCUGGCUCCAUCUCGCAGCUGCAGCUCCUAGCGGGACCUUUGAGUCUGGGCCCAGAAACUGGAAGGAUUCCCUGGGAAAAGAACUACACAGUCUCUGCUCCUUCAGCUUUGGAGAUGGUCCCUUGAGAUUAUCGUCCUGCCUGUCUGCUGUUAAGUUGAUUUCUUAAAUUAUUCCUGUAUGUGAACCCUGGGUAGACGUGUGUCUUUCCCCCUUUAAAAGAACACUAAAAUUAUUUUUUAAAAAGGCGGGGGGGGGGCUAUUGAUCUCAGUCCUCUAGGUUUAUCUGAAGCCAGAAGAACACAUAGGCAGACAGAUAAUUGCUGUAAUUGCAAAGGUGUGGGGGAUGAGAUGGUAGGUAGAGCAUUGGGGCUUGUGUAAUUGGAGUAAUAUAUACAGUUUAUCUUCGGGCUGUGCUGUAUAUAUUCUCUCCCUUGAUACAUGUUGCGCAGGAACUGAACCCAUGGUCUGCUUGUCUUGGCAUGUUUGAAGCCCCAGACACCUAACAGUAUCAUUACAGGAAAGAGACAAAGCCCCAAAGACUUCUGGCAGGAGGUGACUGACUGCUUCGGGAGCCAUCAGGGAGUUUAUCUUGGCAUUGAACUUUUUGGGCCACCUCAUCUACACGUCAGACUCCCUGCUGCGCAAGGUUCAGGUCUUCCCCGGGCUGAAGUGGGGGUCUGUGUGGGGGGGAACAGCUGAUUUUCGACAUUUCAAAGGGGCUCUUUCUAUUUAUCAGUGUUACCGAAGUGUACGUUACUGGAAAAACAACAAAACAAGCAUAGAGCUGCAAUUUUCAAGAAAAUAGGAUCCCCAAAUAUAAAAAUAAAAAAGUAGCAGAUAAGAUGUAUAAUUCAAUCAAAUUACACAAAAUUGCUUGAAAAUCCAGAACAGUAGCAAUCCAUUAUGCCUGUUUUAUUAGUGACAAGCACAAUUACUCUAAAAUAAAGAACACUGGUGAAUAUAUAAUUGGCUGUAAUCAUGUUAGUGUUUGAAUAAAAAUGACGGG